ACUCCUACGGGAGGCAGCAGUGGGGAAUAUUGCACAAUGGGGGAAACCCUGAUGCAGCAACGCCGCGUGGAGGAUGACACAUUUCGGUGCGUAAACUCCUUUUAUAUAGGAAGAUAAUGACGGUACUAUAUGAAUAAGCGCCGGCUAACUCCGUGCCAGCAGCCGCGGUAAUACGGAGGGCGCAAGCGUUACUCGGAAUCACUGGGCGUAAAGAGCGUGUAGGCGGAUAGAUAAGUCAGGAGUGAAAUCCUAUGGCUCAACCAUAGAACUGCUCUUGAAACUGGUAACCUAGAGUAUGGGAGAGGUAGAUGGAAUUUCUGGUGUAGGGGUAAAAUCCGUGAGAUCAGAAGGAAUACCGAUUGCGAAGGCGAUCUACUGGAACAUUACUGACGCUGAGACGCGAAAGCGUGGGGAGCAAACGGAUUAGAUACCCUGGUAGCUACGAG
Molecule: ribosomal RNA, 446 nt
Filed under: uncultured bacterium
Lineage: Bacteria
Description: bacterial SSU rRNA
Rfam family: Bacterial small subunit ribosomal RNA
Source: RNAcentral